AAAGAUUACAGUUUUGUAUUUUUUAUGUUCGACGUUUGACCGUUCAUUUUAUUUAAAAAAAAUUAUGAUUAUUAUUUUAUUAUUAUUAGAUGAUAAAACAUAAAUAAUAUUUUAUUUGUGACUAAUUUUUUUAAUUUUUUUCAUAAAUUUUUGAAAUAAGACGAACGGUUAAACAUUAGAUACGAAAAUCCACGAUUGCAUUUAAA
This is a microRNA precursor of Oryza rufipogon (brownbeard rice), 206 nucleotides long. It matches the Rfam family "MIR812 microRNA precursor family". Lineage: Eukaryota; Viridiplantae; Streptophyta; Magnoliopsida; Poales; Poaceae. The record is from Rfam.